CGGGUAGUUGGUGGAUGCCUUGGCGCUAGGAGCCGAUGAAGGACGUGAUGGUCUGCGAAAAGCCUCGGGGAGUUGACGAAUAAGCGUUGAUCCGGGGAUGUCCGAAUUGGGAAACCAGAUUGGGGUAAUACCCAGUCAUUCCGGUCUGAACACAUAGGGCCGGUAAAGGAAACCGAGGGAAUUGAAACAUCUCAGUACCUCGAGGAAUGGAAAACAACAGUGAUUCCCUGAGUAGCGGCGAGCGAAACGGGAAGAGCCCAAACCAGUGCGGUGUUAAAGGUCGACGCCGUUGCCGUGCUGGGGUAGUGGGACUCAUUAGAUGGGCCGUCGAUCCCAUCAGAGAGUUACAAACUCGUUAGAUAACCGAAUUCGACUGGAAAGUCGAGCCACAGGAGGUAACAGCCCCGUAGGUGAAAUCUACACGAGCUCUCAAUGAUGUUCCCAAGUAGCACGGGGCACGUGAAAUCCCGUGUGAAUCUGCCAGGACCACCUGGUAAGGCUAAAUACUACCUAGCGACCGAUAGCGGAUAGUACCGUGAGGGAACGGUGAAAAGUACCCCGGUGAGGGGAGUGAAACAGUACCUGAAACCAAUUACUUACAAGCAGUAGGAGGGGCCGCCUUGUGCGGCCUUGACUGCCUGCCUUUUGAAGAAUGAGCCUACGAGUUAUCGAUGUGUGGCAAGGUUAAGCCGAGAGGUGUAGCCGCAGCGAAAGCAAGUCUUAAUAGGGCGCCUAGUCGCACGUCAUAGACCCGAAGCCGAGUGAUCUAUCCAUGGACAGGGUGAAGCGAGGGUAAGACCUCGUGGAGGCCCGAACCCACCUAGGUUAAAAACUGGGGGGAUGAUCUGUGGAUAGGGGUGAAAGGCCAAUCAAACUCGGCGAUAGCUGGUUCUCCUCGAAAUAGCUUUAGGGCUAGCGUUGCGUGUUCCUCUUUGGGGGUAGAGCACUGAUUGGGUUAGGGGGCCAACAAGCUUACCGACCCCAGUCAAACUCCGAAUCCCAGAGAGCCAAGCGCAGCAGUCAGACCAUGUGGGAUAAGCUUCAUGGUCGAAAGGGAAACAGCCCAGACCGCCAGUUAAGGUCCCAAAAUCAAUACUAAGUGGGGAACGAUGUAGGGUUGCCCAAACAGCCAGGAGGUUGGCUUAGAAGCAGCCACCCUUUAAAGAGUGCGUAACAGCUCACUGGUCGAGUGAUCCCGCGCGGAUGAUGUAACGGGGCUCAAGUGUUGUACCGAAACUGCGGAUUUGCGUCAUAACCCAGGCCUUCGUGGUCCAGGGGGCGUGAAUGGUAGAGGAGCGUCGAAUGUCCAUCGAAGCGGCGGCGUAAGCCAGUCGUGGAGGGCAUUCGAGUGAGAAUGUAGGCAUGAGUAGCGAAUGAAGAGUGAGAAUCUCUUCCGCCGAAUGUUCAAGGUUUCCUGGGGAAGGCUCGUCCGCCCAGGGUUAGUCGGGACCUAAGGUGAGGCCGAAAGGCGUAAUCGAUGGAUAACAGGUUGAUAUUCCUGUACUACCCACGACGCGAUCAGACCGAAUCACGUUUGCUAAGGAAAGCCCUUCGGGGCCUACCGACCCAGCGUGUACUAGGUGAGCAAUGGAGUGACACGGAAGGGCAAGUGGACCCGGGCGAUGGUAGACCCGGGGUAAGUGCGUAGAUCGAGAACCAGGUAAAUCCGGCUCUCACAAAGAUCGAGACACGAUGCCGAGCCGCUAUUAGGCGAAGCCACCCACCCCAUGCCGUCGAGAAAAGCUUCUAGCGAGCUUCGUGGGUACCCGUACCCCAAACCGACACAGGUGAACAAGUAGAGAAUACUAAGGCGAGCGAGAAAACUCUGGUUAAGGAAUUCGGCAAAAUGGCUCCGUAACUUCGGGAGAAGGAGCGCCCCGGUAGGGUGUAGGACUUCGCGUCCGAAGCCCGAUGGGGUUGCAGAAACCAGGCCCAAGCGACUGUUUAUUAAAAACACAGGAGGGUGCUAAGUCGUAAGACGACGUAUACCCUCUGACGCCUGCCCGGUGCUGGAAGGUCAAGUGGAUCGGUUAGCUCUUCGGAGCGAAGCUGUGAAAUCAAGCCCCAGUAAACGGCGGCGGUAACUAUAACCGUUAAACAGAAAACUGAAUGGCGGUUACAAAACCUGGCUAUAUGCUGGAACAUCCGAGUAUCCAACGGUACGAGUUGUGUGAAACACCUGUGAUAGGUGGGAAACAUGACCGUGAAAAUCCGUUUGGUGCGGACAAUCAGCAGGAAACCAAAGUCUCGAAACACCAGCUCGAAUCGAGCGGAUCGUUCCCUACCUCGGUGGUGAACACGACAUACGUCGGGAUCUCACUCCCGGUGCAUGGCGAAUCCGAUUGCAUCGAGCCAGCACGUCGAUGCCGACCCCUCGGGAGACGCAUCUAUCACAUGUACGUGGAUGUUUCGUGAACGAUGAAACGAAAUCCAACCAAUCACCGGUCGAAAGACCAACGAUUCAAGGAGAUCUGAAUCGGGAUGAGCUCUUCGGAGCAAGUCCUGCAGGGAUCCUCAGAGACUGUACGCCAGGCCCUUCGUGAGAACAAGGGAUGAUACAGUCCGAUCCUCAUGGCGACAUGGGGAGUCAGGCAGAAAUGUCCUGACCAGUUCUGUGCGGGCCGUCCCCGCAUCGACAUAACAGAACGAGUAACAAGAAUGCCUAAGGUAGCGAAAUUCCUUGUCGGGUAAGUUCCGACCUGCACGAAUGGCGUAACGACUCGGGCACUGUCUCAACCAGAGACUCGGCGAAAUUGCAAUGUGAGUAAAGAUGCUCACUUCCCGCAACAGGACGGAAAGACCCCGGGACCUUUACUGCAGCUUGACAUUGAAGCUCUUCCUGCGAUGUGUAGGAUAGGUGGGAGCCUUUGAAGCAUCCGCGCUAGCGGGUGUGGAGGCAACGUUGAAAUACCACCCUUCUCAUGAAGCUCUUCUAACCACGGUCCAUUAUCUGGAUCUGGAACAGUGUCUGGUGGGCAGUUUCACUGGGGUGGUGGCCUCCUAAAAUGUAACGGAGGCGCCCAAAGGUUCCCUCAGCCAGGUCGGCAAUCUGGCGUUGAGUGCAAAAGCACAAGGGAGCUUGACUGCGAGACCUACAAGUCGAGCAGGUACGAAAGUAGGGUUUAGUGAUCCCUCGGCGGCAUGUGGGUGCGCCGAGGCCAACGGCUAAAAGGUACCCCGGGGAUAACAGGCUCAUACCGCCCAAGAGUCCAUAUCGACGGCGGUGUUUGGCACCUCGAUGUCGGCUCGUCUCAUCCUGGGGCUGAAGCAGGUCCCAAGGGUCGGGCUGUUCGCCCGUUAAAGAGGCACGCGAGCUGGGUUUAGAACGUCGUGAGACAGUUCGGUCCCUAUCCGUCGCAGGCGCAGGAGAUUUGAGGAGAGCUGUCCUUAGUACGAGAGGACCGGGAUGGACGCACCUCUAGUGUGCCAGUUGUUUUGCCAAAAGCAUGGCUGGUUUGCCACGUGCGGAACGGAUAAGCGCUGAAAGCAUCUAAGCGCGAAGCCGCCUCCAAGAUCAGAUCUCCCACCGGAUUAACCGGGUAAGGCCCCUGGU
This 3553-nucleotide ribosomal RNA is filed under the name marine metagenome. RNAcentral's name for it is "bacterial LSU rRNA". It matches the Rfam family "Bacterial large subunit ribosomal RNA". The record is from RNAcentral.